UACAGAGGGUGCGAGCGUUGUUCGGAAUGACUGGGCGUAAAGCGCACGUAGGCGGGUUUUUAAGUCAGAUGUGAAAGCCCUGGGCUUAACCUAGGAACAGCAUUUGAAACUGGAGAUCUUGAAUAUCUGAGAGGCCAGUGGAAUUCCAGGUGUAGGAGUGAAAUCCGUAGAUAUCUGGAGGAACACCAGAGGCGAAGGCGGCUGGCUGGCGGUAUAUUGACGCUGAGGUGCGAAAGCGUGGGGAGCAAACAGG
Molecule: ribosomal RNA, 253 nt
Filed under: uncultured bacterium
Lineage: Bacteria
Description: partial 16S ribosomal RNA
Rfam family: Bacterial small subunit ribosomal RNA
Source: RNAcentral